AACGCAUAUUGCGCUCUCUGGCCCUCCAGAGAGCAUGCCUGUUUGAGUAUCAGUAAUACCCUCACUCCUCUUGACGGGGGCGUGGAAUUGAGCAUUUCCGUGGAUGUGAAUUCGUGUCCGGGCUUAAGGGGGGAGUUGUAGCAUUUGCCUACUAUUGCCCUUUCUUACUCUCCGGGUCUUUUGCGUCUUGCGGUUGCUUGAAAUGUAGCGUGUGCUGGGCUUGUCACUGCUCAACGACUAGGCGUACCAGUUCUCUUCGGAGAUCCACUUGCGCCGGUGAAUGUCGCGUGGGCCUCGUGUUGACUGUCAGUCGCGUUGUGUAUACUUUUUCAACAAAGGAGCCUGGCAGGAUGCUUGGCUGCUUGAUCUUGAUCUCAAAUCAGGCAAGACUACCCGCUGAAUUUAA
Molecule: unclassified non-coding RNA, 406 nt
Filed under: uncultured fungus
Lineage: Eukaryota; Fungi
Description: partial contains 5.8S ribosomal RNA, internal transcribed spacer 2, and large subunit ribosomal RNA
Source: RNAcentral